This 465-nucleotide ribosomal RNA is filed under the name Vreelandella stevensii. Its description in RNAcentral is "partial 16S ribosomal RNA". It matches the Rfam family "Bacterial small subunit ribosomal RNA", at positions 338 to 795 of the family's 1533-position model. The record is from RNAcentral. Lineage: Bacteria; Pseudomonadati; Pseudomonadota; Gammaproteobacteria; Oceanospirillales; Halomonadaceae.
CCUACGGGCGGCUGCAGUGGGGAAUAUUGGACAAUGGGGGGAACCCUGAUCCAGCCAUGCCGCGUGUGUGAAGAAGGCCCUCGGGUUGUAAAGCACUUUCAGUGAGGAAGAACGCCUGGUGGUUAAUACCCAUCAGGAAAGACAUCACUCACAGAAGAAGCACCGGCUAACUCCUUGCCAGCAGCCGCGGUAAUACGGAGGGUGCGAGCGUUAAUCGGAAUUACUGGGCGUAAAGCGCGCGUAGGUGGCUUGAUAAGCCGGUUGUGAAAGCCCCGGGCUCAACCUGGGAACGGCAUCCGGAACUGUCAAGCUAGAGUGCAGGAGAGGAAGGUAGAAUUCCCGGUGUAGCGGUGAAAUGCGUAGAGAUCGGGAGGAAUACCAGUGGCGAAGGCGGCCUUCUGGACUGACACUGACACUGAGGUGCGAAAGCGUGGGUAGCAAACAGGAUUAGAUACCCGAGUAGUC